This 565-nucleotide long non-coding RNA is filed under the name Helianthus annuus (common sunflower). Lineage: Eukaryota; Viridiplantae; Streptophyta; Magnoliopsida; Asterales; Asteraceae. The record is from RNAcentral.
UCUGAAGGCAGGGAAGCCACAGGUGGUGGUGGUUUGUGCAUCCGAGGGGCGGUGAUUGGGUCCAAUGGCGUUACAGCUCGCAUGCCGGCGUCCCCGGUACUCAACAUCGACGACAGCAACUUUGAUGAAUUGGGUGGCGGUAGUUCAAGAUGUGGAUUAGGUUUUUCGGUGGCCAUUGGUGACGGCGAACAGGUUUCGUGACGAUACACGAGUGGAGAACCACGAGGGAUGUUAGAUCGGAGGUUUGCAUAGCUAGCCAGUGACGGCGCUCAAGUGCCUACGGUUCCGAUCAAGUUCUGGCAACUUUUCGGUGUAGUUUCACACUUGGAUGUUGGCAAAGGGCUGUGACAAACUGCGGCAAAUAGUAAGGAUGCAAAUACACGAGGAUCUUGAUGUGAGGUGAGAUCGCUCUUAUUAAUGUUGCAAGGCAAGGGCAUAUCUCCAAUGCUAAUACCUCAUUGAACACGUACUGAAACUGAUGAUGACAUUACUUCUUUGUUCUUAGCUGUAGUUGCAGACUCACUCCAAUGUUUGGAGCUAUUAACAUAGGUACACCAAUAUCUCU